GACGAACGCUGGCGGCGUGCCUAACACAUGCAAGUCGAACGGAGAAGUUCAGCAAUGGAUUUCUUAGUGGCGAACGGGUGAGUAACGCGUAGACAACCUACCUCUCAGAUGGGGACAACAUCGCGAAAGCGGUGCUAAUACCGAAUGAUGUAACUUUUCUGCAUGGAAGAGUUACCAAAGGCGGCCUCUAUUUAUAAGCUGUCACUGAGAGCUGGGUCUGCGCCUGAUUAGCUAGUUGGCGGGGUAAUGGCCCACCAAGGCGACGAUCAGUAGCCGGUCUGAGAGGAUGAACGGCCACAUUGGGACUGAGACACGGCCCAAACUCCUACGGGAGGCAGCAGUGGGGAAUCUUCCGCAAUGGACGAAAGUCUGACGGAGCAACGCCGCGUGAGUGAAGAAGGUUUUCGGAUCGUAAAGCUCUGUUGUUUGAGACGAACGUGCAAUUUUUGAAUAAGGAAUUGUAAUGACGGUAUUAAACGAGAAAGCCACGGCUAACUACGUGCCAGCCGCCGCAGUAA
Molecule: ribosomal RNA, 518 nt
Filed under: uncultured bacterium
Lineage: Bacteria
Description: partial 16S ribosomal RNA
Rfam family: Bacterial small subunit ribosomal RNA
Source: RNAcentral